CGUUGGAUGAUUGAGAGGGGCUGCUCCUAGUACGAGAGGACCGGAGUGGACGAACCUCUGGUGUUCGGGUUGUGUCGCCAGACGCAUUGCCCGGUAGCUAAGUUCGGAAUCGAUAACCGCUGAAAGCAUCUAAGCGGGAAGCGAGCCUCAAGAUGAGUCAUCCCUGAUACUUUAAGUAUUCUAAAGGGUUGUUGGAGACUACGACGUAGAUAGGCAGGGUGUGUAAGCGCUGUGAGGCGUUGAGCUAACCUGUACUAAUUGCCCGUGAGGCUUAACCAUACAACACCCAAGGGGUUU
This 297-nucleotide ribosomal RNA is filed under the name Photobacterium damselae subsp. piscicida. RNAcentral describes it as "partial 23S ribosomal RNA". It matches the Rfam family "Bacterial large subunit ribosomal RNA", at positions 2652 to 2925 of the family's 2925-position model. Lineage: Bacteria; Pseudomonadati; Pseudomonadota; Gammaproteobacteria; Vibrionales; Vibrionaceae. The record is from RNAcentral.